Molecule: long non-coding RNA, 1699 nt
Filed under: Calidris pugnax (ruff)
Lineage: Eukaryota; Metazoa; Chordata; Aves; Charadriiformes; Scolopacidae
Description: lncRNA (ENSCPUG00000011479.1)
Source: RNAcentral
AAUAUAUUUCAGGUUCUUUGGAGCUAUGAGAAAAAACCCUUCUGGGCCUCUCCAUGCAAGCUUGUGAUCAUGGAGGUAAAGUCCAAAGAGGAAGAGGGGUGAAGGAGGACCCAAAGACCAUCGGGAAGACCCAAAGUGGGAACUGUGGGAUUGCUCCACACAGUUCCUAUACUUGAGGUUUGCAAGGGAUGGGAAGAGAGACAGCCCAGCAGAUGCUGAGUCCUCAGGAGGAGAGACCAAUGACUAAUAAAUCAGGUGGUUCUUCCUUCAAUAUAUAUCACAUACUGGGAUCAAUAAGAAGCAGAAGAAAAAAGUUCUUUUGUUUACAUGAGGGUUCCACAGGGCAGCCGCUCAGCUCUCCAAUGCACUGAACAACAUCAAUCCAAAGGCUGAUUUCUGCAGCCCAACCUCCAAUAUAUUUAAAACGAACCAUGAAAGAAUCAGAGAUUAAUUCACAGCAUAGCCAACAAUUCCAUUACAACAGAGAAACCUCAACCAGCAACUGAAGUUAUUAUUUUGCCAAAGGAACAGCCAACUGCUAGUCACAUAAAAUUAGCACAUCACCUAGAGAAAACUGUUUCAGAAAGCAGUAUGUUUCAACCUCUGGUUCAUGGCUCAUAGUAAGUUCUUUAGUUGCUAUGUUUUUCUCUGCCUACUUCUAUCUCUCAUGAAUCUACCGCACAAAUCUGAAACGUAGAAGCACCCAACAUAGGGAAGCAGAUGUAAUUAAACUUCCAAACUGGUCACAUUUUCAGUUGGUUGCAGCAAGUGGAGAUGCCAACGCCAGACAAAAUGGUCUUGGAAGAAAGGUCAAGCGCCUCCUCACUUAAAAAGGGAAAGAAAUAGCCCAAAGAGAAUUUGAAGACAGAAAGAGACUGAAGCAGAAGAUGUAAAUCAAGCCAACUGGAUUUCCAGACAGGACACACUCAGUGGAGACAGACUCACCACUGAAUAUUUAGUACUGCAAUCACUCAUACCACUCCUGUGGUAUUUCCUGACAGGGACUAUCCGAGAUGGGAACCCUCUGUGGGAAGAUCGAGCAAGGAGGGAUUUGGAUUUUAAUGGGGCUGGGGGUCUGCACAUCUGCCACAGCAUCAGCUGAUACACGGGUGUAGCGUGUGCCACGGUGCCAGCUGAUGCUGCUGAAGGCAGAGGCCAAGCACAGUGACAAGAUGUGUCCUCUGUAGGGACAUCCUUCUUUAAUUACUGUGCUUGCAGCCUCCUGCUCCUUUCCCACCUUUCUUUCCCCCCUGGAACACAAAUGAGGAGGGGAGGCGAAUAGCAACUGGCUGUCAGCUGACUCUGGAGGGAAAUUAGAUGGAAAGAGGAAGAGGAAGGAAAAUCCCCUCUGAGAUGGUACCUUUUGACACCCUCUCUGAUCAGUGCUUCCUGCUUCCCCCUAUGAAAUCCUCUGGCAGCCUUGCUGCUGUGGAUGGGCAAAUAGUCCAGCAACAGCAGCCUGAAGUCAGGAGAUGAAGGAAAAGACUCCCACUAGCUGCAGAAGACACAGAUGUUGUGAGAGGACAUGGUUUUGGGCAGGGAGCUGCUACGAAACGUGCUGGAGGUAACUGAGGACAGAUCAUCCUUUCCUCUCCCCAGGUAUCUCUCAGACUGACCCAAAGUUUGCUGGUUGAGAAGAUAUGCAAAGCAGAAUGUGUGCAAUUUAUUGUGUCCAGCAAUAAACAAAAUAUUAAGUGCA